RNAcentral lists this ribosomal RNA (485 nucleotides) under uncultured bacterium. RNAcentral's name for it is "bacterial SSU rRNA". It matches the Rfam family "Bacterial small subunit ribosomal RNA", at positions 30 to 512 of the family's 1533-position model. The record is from RNAcentral.
AUUGAACGCUGGCGGCAGGCCUAACACAUGCAAGUCGAGCGAUAACGGUCUUCGGACUUAUUAAAGCGGCGGACGGGUGAGUAACGCGUGGGAAUCUACCUAGUAGUGGGGGACAACAGUUGGAAACGACUGCUAAUACCGCAUACGCCCUACGGGGGAAAGCGGAGGAUCUUCGGACUUCGUGCUAUUGGAUGAGCCCGCGUCAGAUUAGCUUGUUGGUGGGGUAAUGGCCUACCAAGGCGACGAUCUGUAGCUGGUCUGAGAGGAUGAUCAGCCACACUGGAACUGAGACACGGUCCAGACUCCUACGGGAGGCAGCAGUGGGAAUAUUGGACAAUGGGGGCAACCCUGAUCCAGCCAUGCCGCGUGUGUGAAGAAGGCCUUUUGGUUGUAAAGCACUUUAAGCAGUGAAGAAGACUCCAUGGUUAAUACCCAUGGACGAUGACAUUAGCUGCAGAAUAAGCACCGGCUAACUCUGUGCCAGC